CCUACGGGAGGCAGCAGUGAGGAAUAUUGGUCAAUGGGCGCGAGCCUGAACCAGCCAAGUCGCGUGAGGGAAGACGGUCCUAUGGAUUGUAAACCUCUUUUGUCGGGGAGCAAAAGACGCCACGUGUGGCGUUCCGAGAGUACCCGUAGAAAAAGCAUCGGCAAAGUCCGUGCCAGCAGCCGCGGUAAUACGGAGGAUGCGAGCGUUAUCCGGAUUUAUUGGGGUUAAGGGGUGGGCAGGCGGAAGAUCAAGUCGGCGGUAAAAUUGAGAGGCUCAACCUCGUCGAGCCGUUGAAACUGGUAUUCUUGAGUGAGUGAGAAGUAGGCGGAAUGCGUGGUGUAGCGGUGAAAUGCAUAGAUAUCACGCAGAACUCCGAUUGCGAAGGCAGCAUACCGGCGCUCAACUGACGCUCAUGCACGAAAGUGUGGGUAUCGAACAGGAUUAGAUACCCGUGUAGUC
This 459-nucleotide ribosomal RNA is filed under the name uncultured bacterium. RNAcentral describes it as "partial 16S ribosomal RNA". It matches the Rfam family "Bacterial small subunit ribosomal RNA", at positions 338 to 795 of the family's 1533-position model. The record is from RNAcentral.